AACGAACGCUGGCGGCAUGCCUAACACAUGCAAGUCGAACGAGACCUUCGGGUCUAGUGGCGCACGGGUGCGUAACGCGUGGGAACCUGCCCUUAGGUUCGGAAUAACUCCCCGAAAGGGGUGCUAAUACCGGAUAAUGUCUUCGGACCAAAGAUUUAUCGCCUUUGGAUGGGCCCGCGUUGGAUUAGCUAGUUGGUAGGGUAAAAGCCUACCAAGGCGACGAUCCAUAGCUGGUCUGAGAGGAUGAUCAGCCACACUGGGACUGAGACACGGCCCAGACUCCGACGGGAGACAGCAGUGGGGAAUAUUGGACAAUGGGCGAAAGCCUGAGCCAGCAAUGACGCGUGAGUGAUGAAGGCCUUAGGGUUGUAAAGCUCUUUUACCCGGGAUGAUAAUGACAGUACCGGGAGAAUAAGCUCCGGCUAACUCCGUG
RNAcentral lists this ribosomal RNA (433 nucleotides) under uncultured bacterium. RNAcentral describes it as "partial 16S ribosomal RNA". It matches the Rfam family "Bacterial small subunit ribosomal RNA", at positions 29 to 507 of the family's 1533-position model. The record is from RNAcentral.